This 251-nucleotide ribosomal RNA is filed under the name uncultured bacterium. RNAcentral's name for it is "partial 16S ribosomal RNA". It matches the Rfam family "Bacterial small subunit ribosomal RNA", at positions 525 to 775 of the family's 1533-position model. The record is from RNAcentral.
ACGUAGGGAGCAAGCGUUAUCCGGAUUUAUUGGGUGUAAAGGGUGCGUAGACGGGAGAACAAGUUAGUUGUGAAAUCCCUCGGCUUAACUGAGGAACUGCAACUAAAACUAUUUUUCUUGAGUGCUGGAGAGGAAAGUGGAAUUCCUAGUGUAGCGGUGAAAUGCGUAGAUAUUAGGAGGAACACCAGUGGCGAAGGCGACUUUCUGGACAGUAACUGACGUUGAGGCACGAAAGUGUGGGGAGCAAACAG